UUUGCAUCUCGGCAAUCUCUUUCUGAUUGUCCAGUUGCAUUUUAGUAAGCUCUUUUUGAUUCUCAAAUCCGGCGUCAACCAUACCAGCAGAGGAAGCAUCAGCACCAGCACGCUCCCAAGCAUUAAGCUCAGGAAAUGCAGCAGCAAGAUAAUCACGAGUAUCCUUUCCUUUAUCAGCGGCAGACUUGCCACCAAGUCCAACCAAAUCAAGCAACUUAUCAGAAACGGCAGAAGUGCCAGCCUGCAACGUACCUUCAAGAAGUCCUUUACCAGCUUUAGCCAUAGCACCAGAAACAAAACUAGGGACGGCCUCAUCAGGGUUAGGAACAUUAGAGCCUUGAAUGGCAGAUUUAAUA
RNAcentral lists this ribosomal RNA (356 nucleotides) under uncultured prokaryote. Its description in RNAcentral is "partial 16S ribosomal RNA". The record is from RNAcentral.